GAGAGUUUGAUCCUGGCUCAGGACGAACGCUGGCGGCGUGCCUAAUACAUGCAAGUCGAGCGGACAGAUGGGAGCUUGCUCCCUGAUGUUAGCGGCGGACGGGUGAGUAACACGUGGGUAACCUGCCUGUAAGACUGGGAUAACUCCGGGAAACCGGGGCUAAUACCGGAUGGUUGUCUGAAUCGCAUGGUUCAGACAUAAAAGGUGGCUUCGGCUACCACUUACAGAUGGACCCGCGGCGCAUUAGCUAGUUGGUGGGGUAACGGCUCACCAAGGCGACGAUGCGUAGCCGACCUGAGAGGGUGAUCGGCCACACUGGGACUGAGACACGGCCCAGACUCCUACGGGAGGCAGCAG
Molecule: ribosomal RNA, 357 nt
Filed under: Bacillus velezensis
Lineage: Bacteria; Bacillati; Bacillota; Bacilli; Caryophanales; Bacillaceae
Description: bacterial SSU rRNA
Rfam family: Bacterial small subunit ribosomal RNA
Source: RNAcentral